GCUUCCUUGGCUCAGCUGGUUAGAGCGCCGGUCUCAUAUCCUUAUAUGACCACCAGUAUUAGUGGGCCAUCCGGAGAUCGCCAGUUCGAUCCUGGCAGGGAGCA
This is a transfer RNA of Gloeophyllum trabeum ATCC 11539, 104 nucleotides long. It matches the Rfam family "tRNA". Rfam says of the family: Transfer RNA (tRNA) molecules are approximately 80 nucleotides in length. Their secondary structure includes four short double-helical elements and three loops (D, anti-codon, and T loops). Further hydrogen bonds mediate the characteristic L-shaped molecular structure. tRNAs have two regions of fundamental functional importance: the anti-codon, which is responsible for specific mRNA codon recognition, and the 3' end, to which the tRNAs corresponding amino acid is attached (by aminoacyl-tRNA synthetases). tRNAs cope with the degeneracy of the genetic code in two manners: having more than one tRNA (with a specific anti-codon) for a particular amino acid; and 'wobble' base-pairing, i.e. permitting non-standard base-pairing at the 3rd anti-codon position. NCBI's taxonomy places the organism in Eukaryota, Fungi, Basidiomycota, Agaricomycetes, Gloeophyllales, Gloeophyllaceae. The record is from Rfam.